UAGGCUUGGGGUUAAGACCAAAUUGCUAGGAGCCCAAAGAAAUGUCUUUCUAUGAUCUGCUGGCCAUUUUAGAACUUAGGAAGUGUAAUGGUCAACAAAUUAGAAAGAAGCAUCU
Myotis davidii is the source of this 115-nucleotide non-coding RNA. The record is from Rfam. Lineage: Eukaryota; Metazoa; Chordata; Mammalia; Chiroptera; Vespertilionidae.